Non-coding RNA from Paramuricea clavata, 1011 nucleotides. The record is from the annotation of a GenBank genome assembly. NCBI's taxonomy places the organism in Eukaryota, Metazoa, Cnidaria, Anthozoa, Malacalcyonacea, Plexauridae.
UGAUCGUCAGUUUUUGGAAAUCCUCUGCAUAUCUUCGAAGUAAAGUAUGUUAUUUCACGAUCAUGCUGCUAUCGUGCUUCGACUUCCUUGUGAUCGUAACGAGUCAUCCCUUAAUUAUCGUCUAUUUAGUCUCCGCGUUAAAUGAAGAGGACCAUUUAUUAACUGAGAGCAGGAUUUACUGGCGUAUCUCAAACUUGUUCGUCGGCCUUUCUAUCAUCGCUCUUCUGGUAAUGACUAUUGAACGAUAUCUGGGAGCAUACUAUCCUAUCUUUCAUCGAACAUCAGUGACCAGACGCAGACUGCUAACACUCCUCGCAGUAUUAUUCAUUCUGCCAUUUAUCUUAAUAGUGAUGUAUCUAAACGACUUAAUUUCCUUGCCAGUGGGUUUAGUCAUUUUCUUCGCCAUUAUAUUUCCACCAAUUAUUUUCCUCAACUACAAAAUGUUUAAGAUUUCCAGAAAAAUGCGACGCGACAACACAGCAUCACCCGAGGAAUCAACCUUAUCAACCUUGCAUGUUAAUUUAAAGAACAUUCAUACCUGUUUGUUGGCAGUUGCCUGUCUCAUGUUGAUCUACACUCCUGCUUUCUUCUUCAUUGCGUUUAACUUCGCUGAGAAAUCGACGUCAAAAAAAACGACCGUGUCUCAAUUUUGGGCUGGUACUAUAGCUGCUACGAAUUCCACAUUGAACUGUGUGAUCUUUUUCUGGAAGAAUGAUGUUUUGCGCAGAGAAGGAAAAAAGGUAUUGAAGACUUUGAAAAACCGUCUUUUCCCAUGCUAAAGUUGACCAAGCUUAAAUGAUCAAUGUUUUUGACACUAGUUCCGUAAAACGAAUUGUUCAUCAGGACAUAUAACAUGCACGUCUGUCGUUUGUAGGUUAAGGAUAAAAAAUCAGCCAAGUUUGGCGAGGUUAUUUUAUUAGAAAACAGUUGAAUAGAAUUGUAGCUAAUAAUAAUCACUGAAUGUUUUCAUACUACUGUCCCUAUUUAGUCUAUGCAAAUAAUAUGAGUGUG